GACGAACGCUGGCGGCGCGCCUAACACAUGCAAGUCGAACGAGGUUGAGAGGAGCUUGCUUUUCUUGACUUAGUGGCGAACGGGUGAGUAACGCGUGAGGAACCUGCCUCAAAGAGGGGGACAACAGUUGGAAACGACUGCUAAUACCGCAUAAGCUAGAGACACCGCAUGGAGUAGCUAGAAAAGGAGAAAUCCGCUAAUAGAUGGGCUUGCGUCCGAUUAGCCAGUUGGUGGGGUAACGGCCUACCAAAGCGACGAUCGGUAGCCGAGCUGAGAGGCUCAACGGCCACAUUGGGACUGAGAUACGGCCCAG
This 313-nucleotide ribosomal RNA is filed under the name uncultured bacterium. RNAcentral describes it as "bacterial SSU rRNA". It matches the Rfam family "Bacterial small subunit ribosomal RNA", at positions 28 to 334 of the family's 1533-position model. The record is from RNAcentral.